Molecule: ribosomal RNA, 453 nt
Filed under: uncultured bacterium
Lineage: Bacteria
Description: partial 16S ribosomal RNA
Rfam family: Bacterial small subunit ribosomal RNA
Source: RNAcentral
AACGAACGCUGGCGGCAUGCCUAACACAUGCAAGUCGAACGCCUGUAGCAAUACAGGAGUGGCAGACGGGUGAGUAACACGUGGGAAUCUACCCAGUAGCUCGGAAUAACCGCGGGAAACUGCGGCUAAUACCGGAUAAGCCCCGAGGGGGAAAGGAGCAAUCCACUAUUGGAGGAGCCCGCGUGUGAUUAGCUAGUUGGUGAGGUAGCGGCUCACCAAGGCGACGAUCAGUAACUGGCUUGAGAGAACGACCAGCCACACUGGGACUGAGACACGGCCCAGACUCCUACGGGAGGCAGCAGUGGGGAAUAUUGGACAAUGGGGGAAACCCUGAUCCAGCAAUGCCGCGUGGGUGAUGAAGGCCUUCGGGUUGUAAAGCCCUUUUGUCGGGGACGAUGAUGACGGUACCCGACGAAUAAGCUCCGGCUAACUUCGUGCCAGCCGCCGCAGUAA